RNAcentral lists this transfer RNA (72 nucleotides) under Toxocara canis (dog roundworm). It matches the Rfam family "tRNA". From Rfam's summary of the family: Transfer RNA (tRNA) molecules are approximately 80 nucleotides in length. Their secondary structure includes four short double-helical elements and three loops (D, anti-codon, and T loops). Lineage: Eukaryota; Metazoa; Nematoda; Chromadorea; Rhabditida; Toxocaridae. The record is from Rfam by way of RNAcentral.
UCGGUUGUGGUCUAGUGGUUAGGAUUUGCGGCUCUCACCAGCAAGGCCCGGGUUCGGUUCACGGCAACGGAG